RNAcentral lists this ribosomal RNA (250 nucleotides) under uncultured bacterium. RNAcentral describes it as "partial 16S ribosomal RNA". It matches the Rfam family "Bacterial small subunit ribosomal RNA", at positions 524 to 773 of the family's 1533-position model. The record is from RNAcentral.
UACGUAGGGGGCAAGCGUUAUCCGGAUUUACUGGGUGUAAAGGGAGCGUAGGUGGUUCGGCAAGUCAGAUGUGAAAGCCCGGGGCUCAACUCCGGGAUUGCAUUUGAAACUGUCGGGCUAGAGUGCAGGAGAGGUAAGUGGAAUUCCUAGUGUAGCGGUGAAAUGCGUAGAUAUUAGGAGGAACACCAGUGGCGAAGGCGGCUUACUGGACUGUAACUGACACUGAGGCUCGAAAGCGUGGGGAGCAAAC